This 253-nucleotide ribosomal RNA is filed under the name uncultured bacterium. RNAcentral's name for it is "partial 16S ribosomal RNA". It matches the Rfam family "Bacterial small subunit ribosomal RNA", at positions 524 to 776 of the family's 1533-position model. The record is from RNAcentral.
UACGUAGGGUGCGAGCGUUAAUCGGAAUUACUGGGCGUAAAGCGUGCGCAGGCGGUGAUGUAAGACAGAUGUGAAAUCCCCGGGCUCAACCUGGGAACUGCAUUUGAAACUCCCUUUCUUGAGUGUCGGAGAGGAAAGUGGAAUUCCUGGUGUAGAGGUGAAAUUCGUAGAUAUCAGGAGGAACACCGGUGGCGAAGGCGGCUUUCUGGACGACAACUGACGCUGAGACGCGAAAGCGUGGGGAGCAAACAGG